Oesophagostomum dentatum (nodular worm) is the source of this 74-nucleotide non-coding RNA. The record is from the annotation of a GenBank genome assembly. Lineage: Eukaryota; Metazoa; Nematoda; Chromadorea; Rhabditida; Strongylidae.
UGAUCGGUAGCUCAAUUGGUAACGCGUUGGACUACCAAUCUUGACGUCGGGGGUUCGAUCCCCGCGCUGCGCAA